Molecule: ribosomal RNA, 252 nt
Filed under: uncultured bacterium
Lineage: Bacteria
Description: partial 16S ribosomal RNA
Rfam family: Bacterial small subunit ribosomal RNA
Source: RNAcentral
UACGAAGGUCCCGAGCGUUGUCCGGAUUUAUUGGGCGUAAAGCGAGCGCAGGUGGUUUAUUAAGUCUGGUGUAAAAGGCAGUGGCUCAACCAUUGUAUGCAUUGGAAACUGGUAGACUUGAGUGCAGGAGAGGAGAGUGGAAUUCCAUGUGUAGCGGUGAAAUGCGUAGAUAUAUGGAGGAACACCGGUGGCGAAAGCGGCUCUCUGGCCUGUAACUGACACUGAGGCUCGAAAGCGUGGGGAGCAAACAGG